GAUUUGGGUCUUACGCAACAGAACACUUCGAACCGUGUCAGAUCUUGACGGAAGCAGCACUAAGGAGAGCGUUUUGUGUGCCGUAAGGUUGCCUGAAUCGAGU
Molecule: signal recognition particle RNA, 103 nt
Filed under: Desulfosporosinus youngiae DSM 17734
Lineage: Bacteria; Bacillati; Bacillota; Clostridia; Eubacteriales; Desulfitobacteriaceae
Description: Bacterial signal recognition particle RNA
Rfam family: Bacterial small signal recognition particle RNA
About the family: The signal recognition particle (SRP) is a universally conserved ribonucleoprotein involved in the co-translational targeting of proteins to membranes.
Source: RNAcentral